This 781-nucleotide long non-coding RNA is filed under the name Rattus norvegicus (Norway rat). RNAcentral's name for it is "long non-coding RNA NONRATT026950". Lineage: Eukaryota; Metazoa; Chordata; Mammalia; Rodentia; Muridae. The record is from RNAcentral.
UGGGGAACAUACAGGUCCGGGGAACCCCAGUUUUAAGACACUUAACAGAGGAGGAGAAUUUCCUACCAGAAACAGCCAGAAUAUUCUUACACUUGUUCCUGAAUCUUUCCUUUCUGAAUCUCUGAGGGAGUGGAGCCUGUUUAUAAAACUUAGGCUGCAUCUGGUCAUUUGUACAUUGUGGAGACAUCAAUAUCGAAUCCAGAAUGGCCUUUGGAAGAUAGGGGUUCCGCAUCUUGGCAUUGAGGUCUCUCCCCUGCCGGAAUCAUCUAGAAUGGCCUACGUUCAAAGGUAUGGCCUCUGAGCCAGAAAAUUCAGCAGUGCUCAGUGAGGAGAAAGGCCCCUUCAAAAAUGAGGUAAGGCCUGUAGAAAAGGCCUCCAGGGUUGAGUCACCCUGGGCACCAGGCCGAGCUCCUGCAGCUGCAGCCGGGUGGGCCUGUAGGCCAUGAGGCUGCUGUAGGGAGCUGGUGCUCCCUUAUGGGGUCUCAUGGGGACCAAGAGAUCCUGUGGGGCCACGGCUCUCCGGGUACUGUGAUAGGGCUGCAGCCUUGGAACCACGGGUGGGAUGGGGGCCAGGGGACUGCCCGGCCCUGAAGACGUGGAUAGACUCCGGUUGUGGGUGUUGCUGCCAGUCGACAGGCUGCUGAAGGGGUUGGAGGAGGUGCGGUCACUGGCAGAGUCACUGCUGCCACUGAGGCGGCCAUUGGGGGCUUCUGGGCCCUUGCUGGAUUGGAGUGGGGCGACCAGCCUCGGGGACUUCAGACCCAUCAGGGGCUUGGAGGAG